UACGAAGGGGGCUAGCGUUGCUCGGAAUCACUGGGCGUAAAGGGCACGUAGGCGGAUCUUUAAGUCAGGGGUGAAAUCCUGGAGCUCAACUCCAGAACUGCCUUUGAUACUGGGGAUCUCGAGUCCGGAAGAGGUGAGUGGAACUCCGAGUGUAGAGGUGAAAUUCGUAGAUAUUCGGAAGAACACCAGUGGCGAAGGCGGCUCACUGGUCCGGUACUGACGCUGAGGUGCGAAAGCGUGGGGAGCAAACAGG
This 253-nucleotide ribosomal RNA is filed under the name uncultured bacterium. RNAcentral's name for it is "partial 16S ribosomal RNA". It matches the Rfam family "Bacterial small subunit ribosomal RNA", at positions 524 to 776 of the family's 1533-position model. The record is from RNAcentral.